RNAcentral lists this ribosomal RNA (471 nucleotides) under uncultured bacterium. RNAcentral's name for it is "bacterial SSU rRNA". It matches the Rfam family "Bacterial small subunit ribosomal RNA", at positions 355 to 816 of the family's 1533-position model. The record is from RNAcentral.
UGGGGAAUUUUGCGCAAUGGGCGAAAGCCUGACGCAGUAACGCCGCGUGGAGGAUGAAGGCCUUCGGGUUGUAAACUCCUGUCAGGGGGAACGACGGGACCAGGCAGACAAUGCCUGGCCGCCAGACGGUACCUCCAAAGGAAGCCCCGGCUAAUUCCGUGCCAGCAGCCGCGGUAAUACGGAAGGGGCAAGCGUUGUUCGGAAUCAUUGGGCGUAAAGGGCGCGUAGGUGGUUCUGUAUGUCUACCGUGAAAGGGUACAGCUCAACUGUAGCGCGUCGGUAGAAACUGCAGGACUUGAGGCUGGGAGGGGCUGGUGGAAUUCCCUGUGUAGCGGUGAAAUGCGUAGAGAUGGGGGAGAACACUCGUGGCGAAGGCGGCCAGCUAGACCAGUUCUGACACUGAGGCGCGACAGCGUGGGGAGCGAAACAGGAUUAGAUACCCUGGUAGUCCACGCUGUAAACGAUGGGCAC